GGGUUGUGAGGUUAAGCGACUAAGCGUACACGGUGGAUGCCCUGGCAGUCAGAGGCGAUGAAGGACGUGCUAAUCUGCGAUAAGCGUCGGUAAGGUGAUAUGAACCGUUAUAACCGGCGAUUUCCGAAUGGGGAAACCCAGUGUGAUUCGUCACACUAUCAUUAACUGAAUCCAUAGGUUAAUGAGGCGAACCGGGGGAACUGAAACAUCUAAGUACCCCGAGGAAAAGAAAUCAACCGAGAUUCCCCCAGUAGCGGCGAGCGAACGGGGAGCAGCCCAGAGCCUGAAUCAGUGUGUGUGUUAGUGGAAGCGUCUGGAAAGGCGCGCGAUACAGGGUGACAGCCCCGUACACAAAAAUGCACAUGCUGUGAGCUCGAUGAGUAGGGCGGGACACGUGGUAUCCUGUCUGAAUAUGGGGGGACCAUCCUCCAAGGCUAAAUACUCCUGACUGACCGAUAGUGAACCAGUACCGUGAGGGAAAGGCGAAAAGAACCCCGGCGAGGGGAGUGAAAAAGAACCUGAAACCGUGUACGUACAAGCAGUGGGAGCACGCUUAGGCGUGUGACUGCGUACCUUUUGUAUAAUGGGUCAGCGACUUAUAUUCUGUAGCAAGGUUAACCGAAUAGGGGAGCCGAAGGGAAACCGAGUCUUAACUGGGCGUUAAGUUGCAGGGUAUAGACCCGAAACCCGGUGAUCUAGCCAUGGGCAGGUUGAAGGUUGGGUAACACUAACUGGAGGACCGAACCGACUAAUGUUGAAAAAUUAGCGGAUGACUUGUGGCUGGGGGUGAAAGGCCAAUCAAACCGGGAGAUAGCUGGUUCUCCCCGAAAGCUAUUUAGGUAGCGCCUCGUGAAUUCAUCUCCGGGGGUAGAGCACUGUUUCGGCAAGGGGGUCAUCCCGACUUACCAACCCGAUGCAAACUGCGAAUACCGGAGAAUGUUAUCACGGGAGACACACGGCGGGUGCUAACGUCCGUCGUGAAGAGGGAAACAACCCAGACCGCCAGCUAAGGUCCCAAAGUCAUGGUUAAGUGGGAAACGAUGUGGGAAGGCCCAGACAGCCAGGAUGUUGGCUUAGAAGCAGCCAUCAUUUAAAGAAAGCGUAAUAGCUCACUGGUCGAGUCGGCCUGCGCGGAAGAUGUAACGGGGCUAAACCAUGCACCGAAGCUGCGGCAGCGACGCUUAUGCGUUGUUGGGUAGGGGAGCGUUCUGUAAGCCUGUGAAGGUGUACUGUGAGGUAUGCUGGAGGUAUCAGAAGUGCGAAUGCUGACAUAAGUAACGAUAAAGCGGGUGAAAAGCCCGCUCGCCGGAAGACCAAGGGUUCCUGUCCAACGUUAAUCGGGGCAGGGUGAGUCGACCCCUAAGGCGAGGCCGAAAGGCGUAGUCGAUGGGAAACAGGUUAAUAUUCCUGUACUUGGUGUUACUGCGAAGGGGGGACGGAGAAGGCUAUGUUGGCCGGGCGACGGUUGUCCCGGUUUAAGCGUGUAGGCUGGUUUUCCAGGCAAAUCCGGAAAAUCAAGGCUGAGGCGUGAUGACGAGGCACUACGGUGCUGAAGCAACAAAUGCCCUGCUUCCAGGAAAAGCCUCUAAGCAUCAGGUAACAUCAAAUCGUACCCCAAACCGACACAGGUGGUCAGGUAGAGAAUACCAAGGCGCUUGAGAGAACUCGGGUGAAGGAACUAGGCAAAAUGGUGCCGUAACUUCGGGAGAAGGCACGCUGAUAUGUAGGUGAAGCGACUUGCUCGUGGAGCUGAAAUCAGUCGAAGAUACCAGCUGGCUGCAACUGUUUAUUAAAAACACAGCACUGUGCAAACACGAAAGUGGACGUAUACGGUGUGACGCCUGCCCGGUGCCGGAAGGUUAAUUGAUGGGGUCAGCGCAAGCGAAGCUCUUGAUCGAAGCCCCGGUAAACGGCGGCCGUAACUAUAACGGUCCUAAGGUAGCGAAAUUCCUUGUCGGGUAAGUUCCGACCUGCACGAAUGGCGUAAUGAUGGCCAGGCUGUCUCCACCCGAGACUCAGUGAAAUUGAACUCGCUGUGAAGAUGCAGUGUACCCGCGGCAAGACGGAAAGACCCCGUGAACCUUUACUAUAGCUUGACACUGAACAUUGAGCCUUGAUGUGUAGGAUAGGUGGGAGGCUUUGAAGUGUGGACGCCAGUCUGCAUGGAGCCGACCUUGAAAUACCACCCUUUAAUGUUUGAUGUUCUAACGUUGACCCGUGAUCCGGGUUGCGGACAGUGUCUGGUGGGUAGUUUGACUGGGGCGGUCUCCUCCUAAAGAGUAACGGAGGAGCACGAAGGUUGGCUAAUCCUGGUCGGACAUCAGGAGGUUAGUGCAAUGGCAUAAGCCAGCUUGACUGCGAGCGUGACGGCGCGAGCAGGUGCGAAAGCAGGUCAUAGUGAUCCGGUGGUUCUGAAUGGAAGGGCCAUCGCUCAACGGAUAAAAGGUACUCCGGGGAUAACAGGCUGAUACCGCCCAAGAGUUCAUAUCGACGGCGGUGUUUGGCACCUCGAUGUCGGCUCAUCACAUCCUGGGGCUGAAGUAGGUCCCAAGGGUAUGGCUGUUCGCCAUUUAAAGUGGUACGCGAGCUGGGUUUAGAACGUCGUGAGACAGUUCGGUCCCUAUCUGCCGUGGGCGCUGGAGAACUGAGGGGGGCUGCUCCUAGUACGAGAGGACCGGAGUGGACGCAUCACUGGUGUUCGGGUUGUCAUGCCAAUGGCACUGCCCGGUAGCUAAAUGCGGAAGAGAUAAGUGCUGAAAGCAUCUAAGCACGAAACUUGCCCCGAGAUGAGUUCUCCCUGACUCCUUGAGAGUCCUGAAGGAACGUUGAAGACGACGACGUUGAUAGGCCGGGUGUGUAAGCGCAGCGAUGCGUUGAGCUAACCGGUACUAAUGAACCGUGAGGCUUAACCUUACAACGCCGAAGCUGUU
Molecule: ribosomal RNA, 2930 nt
Filed under: Escherichia coli
Lineage: Bacteria; Pseudomonadati; Pseudomonadota; Gammaproteobacteria; Enterobacterales; Enterobacteriaceae
Description: 23S ribosomal RNA
Rfam family: Bacterial large subunit ribosomal RNA
Source: RNAcentral